GGCGGACGGGUGAGUAACGCUUGGGAAUCUGCCUGUUAGUGGGGGACAACCAACCGAAAGGUUGGCUAAUACCGCAUACGCACUACGGUGGAAAGCCGGGGACCGCAAGGCCUGGCGCUAACAGAUGAGCCCAAGUCGGAUUAGCUAGUUGGUAGGGUAAUGGCCUACCAAGGCGACGAUCCGUAACUGGUCUGAGAGGACGACCAGUCACACCGGAACUGAGACACGGUCCGGACUCCUACGGGAGGCAGCAGUGGGGAAUAUUGGACAAUGGGGGAAACCCUGAUCCAGCGACGCCGCGUGGGUGAAGAGGGCCUGCGGGUUGUAAAGCCCUUUCGGUUGGGAAGAAAAGCUGCGACCUAACACGUCGCGGCCUUGACGUAACCAACUAAAGAAGCACCGGCUAACUCUGUGCCAGCAGCCGCGGUAAUACAGAGGGUGCGAGCGUUAAUCGGAAUUACUGGGCGUAAAGCGCGCGUAGGCGGCUUUGUAAGUCGGUUGUGAAAUCCCCGGGCUUAACCUGGGAACUGCAUCCGAGACUGCAUAGCUAGAGUAUGGGAGAGGGAAGUGGAAUUUCAGGUGUAGCGGUGAAAUGCGUAGAUAUCUGAAGGAACAUCAGUGGCGAAAGCGACUUCCUGGACCAAUACUGACGCUCAUGUGCGAAAGCGUGGGGAGCAAACAGGAUUAGAUACCCUGGUAGUCC
Molecule: ribosomal RNA, 703 nt
Filed under: uncultured bacterium
Lineage: Bacteria
Description: bacterial SSU rRNA
Rfam family: Bacterial small subunit ribosomal RNA
Source: RNAcentral